Cucumis sativus (cucumber) is the source of this 988-nucleotide long non-coding RNA. RefSeq lists it as uncharacterized. The record is from RefSeq and is a predicted model, not a curated record. NCBI's taxonomy places the organism in Eukaryota, Viridiplantae, Streptophyta, Magnoliopsida, Cucurbitales, Cucurbitaceae. The transcript has 2 exons.
GGGAGUAGGACUGUAGUUUUAGGUGGAAUGAUGAGGAUGAAUAGGUCACCUUUCACAAUGUUACAGUGACAUGGGCUAGAACUUCAGGCUCUGAUCUUAAAUUUAUGAUGGCAGAUCAACCUCUUCCACUUGAACUUGUGUUGAUUUCACCACCUGUUUUCCCAACAUUUUGGCUGUUCGAUCCAUCUUCGUUCCUUUUUCUUUUUUGUUUUUUUCUAUCUAAUUGUUUUCUAUGUUGGUUAAUUGAGUAGAACAUUUUAAACGUUAGUCUGGGAGUAAGGUUCACCAUGCUAACAUCCAGGCUUCCAAGGUUGUUCCUGGUAUUAUUCGUAUCAUGUUGGCCCAAGAUCUAUGUUGAAGAUGUUACUUGAUGCUCAAGGAGAUUUUUUUUUUUUCCCCUUUUCUUUUAAUUGUUUGAUGACUAUAUGAAUCUCUUUUUGUAUUUCUGUCGAAAGUGACAAUAUUUUGUCACUGUUUAAAUGUUUCAAGUAGAUUCCAAUAAUUUCCCAUCUUCUGAAACUUUCAAACGAAUAUGGUUUUUUAAUUUUAUUGCUCUGCUGCGAGUCAAUUGUUGACUACUCUCUCUGGAUUCAACAACUUCAAAUUUAUGAGUCCAUUUCUCAUAGGUUCUUCCAUCAUCCCACCAGUAAUCUUACUUCGAUCCCCUUGUUUUUUUUCUUGGGUGUUGUUAGUUUGAUUGGCUUCUGUUUGUGUUUGAUUUGACUUUAGGGGUUUUGUUUACUUCUAGUUUUCCCUCUUUUCUGUUUUCUAGAUUUUAUUUUUAUGUUGUUGUUGUUUUACUUAACUAAUGUGUUCAUUUGAAUUCAUGAGUGGCGCUUUUUUUAAUUUUCUUGUUUCAAAACCUUGUGCUUUCACUCCCCUUUUGUCUAGUUUUGUGAUCUUCAUUUAUCCUUGAAUCUCUGAAUCUGCAAGUUAUGUAAGAAAGCAUGACAUUUUUCAGGUGAAUGAAUGAAAGAUUUGGUGUUUA